GAGAGGACUGUAUGCAUCAGGGGCAAAAUGUGAUUGAUUUUUUUAAGAAAAGACUUCUGGAAAGGACUUGGAGCUUCCGUUGAUCGUCCCGCGGGCCGGGACAACUGGCGCCCAACGUGGGGCUCGAGCCUUGUGAAGGAUAGAACGCCGCGCUUAAGAAGAGAGCUCUCACACUCACCGCACCCGGGAUCGCCACAAAGAAACUCGCUCGUGAGACAGAUCCGUUCAGCAGUCAACCAGCGCCGGCGAAAAGGAAAAGAAAAAGGUAUUGCUGGCCUAGGCACCGGAACCGCCUCUA
This is a long non-coding RNA of Choloepus didactylus (southern two-toed sloth), 298 nucleotides long. RefSeq lists it as uncharacterized. Lineage: Eukaryota; Metazoa; Chordata; Mammalia; Pilosa; Megalonychidae. The transcript is spliced from 3 exons. The record is from RefSeq and is a predicted model, not a curated record.